Molecule: ribosomal RNA, 484 nt
Filed under: uncultured bacterium
Lineage: Bacteria
Description: partial 16S ribosomal RNA
Rfam family: Bacterial small subunit ribosomal RNA
Source: RNAcentral
AUUGAACGCUGGCGGCAGGCCUAACACAUGCAAGUCGAGCGGAUGAAGGGAGCUUGCUCCUGGAUUCAGCGGCGGACGGGUGAGUAAUGCCUAGGAAUCUGCCUGGUAGUGGGGGAUAACGUCCGGAAACGGGCGCUAAUACCGCAUACGUCCUGAGGUAGAAAGUGGGGGAUCUUCGUACCUCACGCUAUCAGAUGAGCCUAGGUCGGAUUAGCUAGUUGGUGGGGUAAAGGCCUACCAAGGCGACGAUCCGUAACUGGUCUGAGAGGAUGAUCAGUCACACUGGAACUGAGACACGGUCCAGACUCCUACGGGAGGCAGCAGUGGGGAAUAUUGGACAAUGGGCGAAAGCCUGAUCCAGCCAUGCCGCGUGUGUGAAGAAGGUCUUCGGAUUGUAAAGCACUUUAAGUUGGGAGGAAGGGAAGUAAGUUAAUACCUUGCUGUUUUGACGGUACCAACAGAAUAAGCACCGGCUAACUUCGUG